This 447-nucleotide ribosomal RNA is filed under the name uncultured bacterium. RNAcentral describes it as "partial 16S ribosomal RNA". It matches the Rfam family "Bacterial small subunit ribosomal RNA", at positions 29 to 523 of the family's 1533-position model. The record is from RNAcentral.
AGCGAACGCUGGCGGCAGGCUUAACACAUGCAAGUCGAACGCCCCGCAAGGGUAGUGGCAGACGGGUGAGUAACACGUGGGAACGUACCCUUUGGUUCGGAAUAACUUGGGGAAACUCAAGCUAAUACCGGAUAAGCCCUUAUGGGGAAAGGUUUACUGCCGAAGGAUCGGCCCGCGUCUGAUUGGCUAGUUGGUGAGGUAACGGCUAACCAAGGCGACGAUCAGUAUCUGGUCUGAGAGGAUGAUCCGCCACACUGGUACUGAGACCCGGCCGAGACUCCUACGGGAGGGAGCAGUGGGGAAUAGUGGACAAUGGGGGCAACCCUGAUCGAGCCAUGCCGCGUGAGUGAUGAAGGCCUUAGGGUUGUAAAGCUCUUUUACCCGGGACGAUAAUGACUGUACCGGGAGAAUAAGCCCCGGCUAACUUCGUGCCAGCCGCCGCCGUAA